UCUAUGUCUGGCUCAAGGAAGGGUUCCCUCCUCCCUCCAAUGUGCACAGAGACCUUGAGAUCCCAUCCACCUAACCCUGUGCCCUCAGAAGCCUCCUCUGAGAGGGGGCACCUUUUCCUAAUUCUCACAAAGGCUAGUGGCUACCUUGUAGAUAGCCUUGGAUGUGUUAGGACACUUUUCUGAACAUCAGUUCCUUAUCUGUAAGAUGGGAGUUGUGUCCUCAAUGGGUAAUUAGAGAUUAUUCAUGGGAAAUCCUAUCACGGUAUCUACCACGGGGAGACUCACAAGUGCUGAUCUUUGCUGGUGUUGCUGCAUUUGUUAUUGAAUGCAUUCGUUAGGAGUCUUGUUAGUAAGUGACAAAAAUCCAACUCAAAUUGGCUUACACUAAACAAGUUUCCUGCAUCUGGGAGUAUAAAGGGUGACGCUUUGGCAGAGGCUGGCUCUGGAAAACGAGGACGCACAUUUGUGCCCCCACUUUCCUCUGUGCGGCGUCCUUCUCUUCAAGGCUUCCCCCAGUUUGGCAAACACGGCCCCAGCAAUGUCAAGCUGAGAGCACCUUUUAAGAAAGACCCUUCCUUCCAUGUGUUUUGGCAAAAGUCCCAUGAAGCAGUAUGAGUGGCCCGGUUUGGGUCAUGGGCUCACCCCUAAACCAGCCGCUCUGGAUGGAUUAGUUCCAAUUGGACAGGCCAUGGUCUUGGACUCUUUGGGUGAGUGUGGGAGGGUGUGGGAGGGAAGAUUCAUUGAACCUCAUCUCUACUACAUGGUACAGCUCCCUGGAAGAAAGAGGGGCUCCAUUACCAGAAGGAAACAAGGAAUUUUAUGGGGAACCACAUUAUCACUACCACAAUCUACCAUGCUAUACAUAAGAAAUGCACCUUGGUCUUAAUGCACGGUCUUGAGGGGGUGCAAGCUGAAUCCAAUUCCCAGCGUCUGGGUCAGUGUCCCUCAUGGGGGAGCUGCCUCACUUAAGAUUCCUUUGGAUAGGUAAGGUAGAACACCAAGCUGCGCGGGAUUAUGAAAAGAAAGGGAGAAAUUCACUGGCUCGCAGAAUUGAAAAGCUGAGAUCCAGCUGUACUUUUAAGCCUGAGCCAUUCUCCAGCUCCUGGCCCUGCCUCUCGCUGUCUUGGCUUCACCCUUCACAGACUGCCCUGCAAGGACCGAGGUGGAGUCUCAUUGGACUGGCUCAGGUCGUGUGCCUAGUUCUGAACCAUCCACUGUUUCCAGAGGGAUGGGGUAUCCUGAUUAGCCAGGAAGAAGUCAGACGUCUCUGAGCUAACUUUACUGAGAAUUGGGUAGAGGAGGUCCCCCAAAAGUAAAGUUGGGCACUGCAGUUCAGGAGAAGGGUGAUCACUGGUUGCUAAGCAACCAUAAAGUAGCCAGCAUCUCCUGUGGGUUGGGGUUUGCGCCUGUGAAUGGACAAGUGGCACUCGGAAAUUAAAUGCAGUGCAUCCAGUGCUCAAGCUCCUGGGCUUCGUCUGCUCCACACUUUUUCCUCUGCCCUUUGGGCUAAAGCCGUUGGGUUUGGGACAAGAGAAGGGGAGAGCUGGUACCUCUUCCCUUUUUUGCCCAGGAAAGUUGUUUCUCCAUCAUUUCAUGGCUCAAAGUCAUUAAAUCUGAGUAAUUCUUACAAACCAGAUCCAGGAAGAAUCUAGGAGUGGGCUCUCUGUAGAUUAGAAUGCUUCAGGCUGCAGGUAACAGAAGACUUGACUGGAAAUGCCUUCAACAGAGAAGGGAUGUAUCAUUUUCUAGAAGGAGAAAUUCUGCAGCUGGGACGGUUCCAGGGUUGGUUUCUUUGGAAACUCAGAACUUCAUCGAGGCUCUGGAUUCAUUUCUUCUUUCUGCUGUGCCAUUUCCAGCCUGUUGACUUGGCCUGGGCCAGCUGUCCUCUCACGCUCAUGAUUGCUGCCUCUGCUCCUGCCAUCACAUACACAAGCAGUGCCUGUUCAGUGGAACAAAAGGAAAUCAAAAAGAGGAAUCACAUUGUCCUGUGUCUCUACAAUGUUUUUUUUUUUUUAAAUCAUGAAAACCGUUCCCAGAAACCCCACAACAGACUUUCUGUUUCAUCUCAUUGGCCAGAACAGUAUCACAGGAGACUACUGGGAUUGGCAUAGACUAGCUAGGAUGCACCCUUAGAGCCCGUGGAGGACGGCAGACAUCUGAGCAGAGCUGGGCCUCAGCGGGCAGGGGAUGACAGGGACUGGCAGGCAUCCUUUUGGUCACUCAGAGGACUUCCUUCAAUCCACCCAGGGCUGGUUGGCAUCAUAAACUCAGGAUGGCAGCACUUGGAUGGCUGUGGUUGCUUUGUCUCCAGUGAGUGCCCCAGGAAACCAUCUCUUCUGGUCGCCACACGGCUAUUUGGCUACUGACGACUCUUGCUUACCAAAUGCAGGCGAAGCUGUUCAGAAGUAC
RNAcentral lists this long non-coding RNA (2409 nucleotides) under Homo sapiens (human). Its description in RNAcentral is "non-protein coding FZD10-DT:55". Lineage: Eukaryota; Metazoa; Chordata; Mammalia; Primates; Hominidae. The record is from RNAcentral.